This 540-nucleotide ribosomal RNA is filed under the name uncultured soil bacterium. RNAcentral's name for it is "bacterial SSU rRNA". It matches the Rfam family "Bacterial small subunit ribosomal RNA", at positions 33 to 615 of the family's 1533-position model. The record is from RNAcentral.
ACGCUGGCGGUAUGCUUAACACAUGCAAGUCGAACGGUCUCUUCGGAGAUAGUGGCGGACGGGUGAGUAACGCGUAAGAAUCUACCUAUAGGUUCGGGACAACAGUUACAAAUGACUGCUAAUACCGGAUAUGCCUUCGGGUGAAAGUUUUAAAUGCCUGUAGAUGAGCUUGCGUUCGAUUAGCUAGAUGGUGGGGGUAAUGGCCUACCAUGUCGACGAUCGAAUAACUGGGUCUGAAAGGAUGACCAGUCCCACUGGGGACUGAAACACGGCCCAGACUCCUACGGGACGCAGCAGUGGGGAAUUUACCGCAAAGGGCGAAAGCCUGACGGAGCAAUACCGCGUGAGGGACGAAGGCUGUGGGUUGUAAACCUCUUUUGUUAGGGAAGAUAAUCACGGUACCUAACGAAUAAGCAUCGGCUAACUCCGNUGCCAGCAGCCGCGGUAAGACGGAGGAUGCAAGCGAUAUCCGGAUUUAUUGGGCGUAAAGCGUACGUAGGCUGUUUGAUAAGUCUGUUGUCAAAGCCCGAGGCUCAACCU